ACUCCUACGGGAGGCAGCAGUGGGGAAUCUUGCGCAAUGGGCGAAAGCCUGACGCAGCCAUGCCGCGUGAAUGAUGAAGGUCUUAGGAUUGUAAAAUUCUUUCACCGGGGACGAUAAUGACGGUACCCGGAGAAGAAGCCCGCUAACUUCGUGCCAGCAGCCGCGGUAAUACGAAGGGGCGUAGCGUUGCUCGGAAUUACUGGGCGUAAAGGGAGCGUAGGCGGACUGUUUAGUCAGAGGUGAAAGCCCAGGGCUCAACCUUGGAAUUGCCUUUGAUACUGGCAGUCUUGAGUACGGAAGAGGUAUGUGGAACUCCGAGUGUAGAGGUGAAAUUCGUAGAUAUUCGGAAGAACACCAGUGGCGAAGGCGACAUACUGGUCCGUUACUGACGCUGAGGCUCGAAAGCGUGGGGAGCAAACAGGAUUAGAUACCCUGGUAGCUAC
Molecule: ribosomal RNA, 443 nt
Filed under: uncultured bacterium
Lineage: Bacteria
Description: bacterial SSU rRNA
Rfam family: Bacterial small subunit ribosomal RNA
Source: RNAcentral